RNAcentral lists this ribosomal RNA (428 nucleotides) under Bacteroidota bacterium. RNAcentral's name for it is "Bacteroidetes bacterium partial 16S ribosomal RNA". It matches the Rfam family "Bacterial small subunit ribosomal RNA", at positions 355 to 776 of the family's 1533-position model. The record is from RNAcentral. Lineage: Bacteria; Pseudomonadati; Bacteroidota.
UAGGGAAUCUUCCGCAAUGGACGCAAGUCUGACGGAGCAACGCCGCGUGAGUGAAGAAGGAUUUCGGUUCGUAAAACUCUGUUGUCAGAGAAGAACAGCGCAUAGAGUAACUGUUAUGCGUGUGACGGUAUCUAACCAGAAAGCCACGGCUAACUACGUGCCAGCAGCCGCGGUAAUACGUAGGUCCCGAGCGUUGUCCGGAUUUAUUGGGCGUAAAGCGAGCGCAGGCGGUUAGAAAAGUCUGAAGUGAAAGGCAGUGGCUCAACCAUUGUAGGCUUUGGAAACUGUUUAACUUGAGUGCAGAAGGGGAGAGUGGAAUUCCAUGUGUAGCGGUGAAAUGCGUAGAUAUAUGGAGGAACACCGGUGGCGAAAGCGGCUCUCUGGUCUGUAACUGACGCUGAGGCUCGAAAGCGUGGGGAGCGAACAGG